This 499-nucleotide ribosomal RNA is filed under the name uncultured bacterium. RNAcentral's name for it is "bacterial SSU rRNA". It matches the Rfam family "Bacterial small subunit ribosomal RNA", at positions 355 to 870 of the family's 1533-position model. The record is from RNAcentral.
UGGGGAAUCUUGGACAAUGGGGGCAACCCUGAUCCAGCCAUGCCGCGUGAGUGAAGAAGGUCUUCGGAUCGUAAAGCUCUUUCAACGGUGAAGAUAAUGACGGUAGCAGGUAAAGAAACCCCGGCUAACUCCGUGCCAGCAGCCGCGGUAAUACGGAGGGGGUUAGCGUUGUUCGGAAUUACUGGGCGUAAAGCGCACGUAGGCGGACCAGAAAGUUGGGGGUGAAAUCCCGGGGGCUCAACCCCGGAACUGCCUCCAAAACUAUUGGUCUAGAGUUCGAGAGAGGUGAGUGGAAUUCCAAGUGUAGAGGUGAAAUUCGUAGAUAUUUGGAGGAACACCAGUGGCGAAGGCGGCUCACUGGCUCGAUACUGACGCUGAGGUGCGAAAGUGUGGGGAGCAAACAGGAUUAGAUACCCUGGUAGUCCACACCGUAAAACGAUGAAUGCCAGUCGUCGGGUAGCAUGCUAUUCGGUGACACACCUAACGGAUUAAGCAUUCC